This 3310-nucleotide long non-coding RNA is filed under the name Lathyrus oleraceus (garden pea). Its description in RNAcentral is "Pisum sativum (pea) long non-coding RNA (PSAT_LNC037687)". Lineage: Eukaryota; Viridiplantae; Streptophyta; Magnoliopsida; Fabales; Fabaceae. The record is from RNAcentral.
CUCAUGUUUUCCCCACUCCCUCAUUUCUCCUCUCAUACUCUCAGCAAAACAAUACUUCACUCUCUAUAAAAGAAAUCUCACACACAAAAAAACCCUUCCUCUCUAAUCAUCUUCUCCGCCGCCACCCAUUCAAUCGUGACCCACCUUCAUCUCCUCCACAAAUCACCGUCAUCACGCUCACCACCACCAAACCCCAAAUCGCUUCACCUUCAAAAACCCUCAACCCUCUUCUCCUUCGUCAUCAACCGCUUCAAACCCUAUCCACCACUCUAACCAUCAAACCCUCACCGUGAAUCGCCAUCACUAACCGUGAAGCUCGCCGCCGCUCAAACCUCCGCUUCUUCACCACCAACAAACCCUCGCGAAUCCACCAUCUCCAACUCACCAUCGAAACCCAUUCACCUCACAACCCCAAAAUCGUCCACGGUUCUCCACCAGGAACAACUCCACGAACAACCACCUCCGUAAAAAACGCGACACACCACCAACACCUCAAAACCCUCGCUCCAUCCGCUACUGCAACUCUUUUACUCCACCGACAAAACGCACACAACCGUCAUUCAUUCUUGCUCAAGUAUGGAGGCCACUCACGAUCGAUUCACUAAAGCAGAGAGGCCAUUCUUUAUCGAUCCAAAAUUCUACUCAGUGAGGUUAGAUUCAUGGUUUUUGAUUCCCAGCUCCGGACUGUGACCUAGCAUUCAAACGGCACCAAGCGAGUAACUUCGAUCAACCCUUUCAUCGACUCAACUUCUAUCCAGGGCUUCAACAUUGGUUCAGCAUUACGGUAACGGUUUGCAUUACUAUUGGCUUGAUAUUGUACUGUUGGUGAUAGCUACCAUCUGGAUUUUGAUCGGUUGUGUUGGUAUAUGUUGAGUUAUUCGUAGGCUGUAUUAUUUUCUUCUGGUGUUUUGGAUAAACAUGAUUUAAUCCUGCUGUUUGAUGCUGUACGUUUAAGGUCAUAAAUCUUGUUUCGAGUAUGUCCUUAAUUUCCAAUUGUCCACUUUAUUGUCAUUCAAAUUGUUGAUGUUGUAAAGUUAAAAAAAAACAUGGUUUUGCUUGUUGAUUAUCUGUUUAAAAUUGUGCCGUCUUUAGAGCCAAUUCGUGUUUUAAUCCAAAAUUCUGGUUGGCUUUCGCAUUGAGUUCGAUUGAUUCAUUGGCAUACAGAGUUUAAGCUGAAUAAGUUUUACUGCGUGAUUCUAAAGGUUUGCUUGCCUGGUAAUGACAGAGUGCAUAGAUAAGUAAUGUCUAGCCAUCAUAUGCAUUUCGUUUCGAAUAGCAAUUUGAUGCGUUAAUUGGAAUCAUGAGUGUUAAUGUAUGGCUUUACAAGUUUUAUUGAAAAACAUGGUUUUUGCAUGUUAAUAUUGCUUAAGUUGUCACAUAUUAUGAUGGGUUUUCAUGUGUGUUCUAGGGCGUUACUGUUGGUUCGAGUCUUUUCUUCUCCCUAAGCUUUAAUUCGGAAUGAAAGUAGCAUUUAAAGCAUCACGAUAAUGACUAUUAGAAUUCUAAUUUUACAAAGUAUACAUUAGUUAGUUACACUGAAUUCCGGAUUAUGGCGUGGCUUUUCUAGUUUCGGUACUCCGUAGGAAAAGGUUGUGGAGUGGGUUUACAGCCCUAUGAUUUUUCUUGCAAUUAGAAUGACAUUCAUAAUUGAUAUUUCUUUUAUUGAAUAUUUAGAGUUGUGUUGUUGUUAUAACUAUUGUAAAUAAUAUCAUUGUUUUUUUUUAUGAAUUUAAAUCCAGUGGAUCCGACUUCUACGUGUCGAUAUACCCUCAAAAGUUUCAACACAUCGAAAGAAUAUUUUUCGCCGAGUUAUGAGUUCGCGAAUAACAUUAAUUGUUGCUAUCUCGCAUAAACCGGUCUGAACACACCGAUUCAAUUCCUAUAAAUCAAAGUUGUCACUAAUUUGUUUUUUUCAUAAAAAAUAUUAUUAGUUGAAUUUUUGUCUGAUUAAUUGCUUUUAAUUAAUUAACCUUAAUUAACUUAAUUAUUUAAGAUAAUUAAAUAGUUUUGAUAAUUAGUUUUAAUUAAUUCGAUUAAUCAACUUACUUAAAAUUUGAUAAUAAUCAAAGGAUUUUCUUUUCCAUCACCAUUUCACAAUCAUUCUUAAUUCAACUUCAUUUCAAUUCAUUAUCCAUUCAAAGCCAAUUUCAAAAAGCACAAAUCACAAUUCUCGAUUUAACAUCGAGUCCAUUUUAAAACACCCUUGUAAGUCGAUUGCUCUUCGCAUCGCCAUCAACCUCACAUAGCUUACUCUUGGGCUUUCUUACAAUGAAGCCUACUUGGUUAUUGACUAAUCGAGUAGAUGAAAUAAUACACUAAAUAAAAAUUCAUUUCAUUUAUAAACACAAAUUCCAAUCACUUUUCCAAACCAUUCAAUUUCAAAAGAAUUUUCUUUUAAACAUAAAUUUGGGAUGAAAAGGAGAUAGGAAGCGUACGCUUCACUAUUUCUCAAGCACUUGAAUAAUUGGCGUACGCCAUAUUGCGCGAGUUCUUGUCACCCGAUUAAAUCUUAAAUCACACAAUUUCAAAUCAUUUCUACAAAUUCCAAAUACUUUUAAUUCCAUAUUUCAGAUGAAAAGGAGAAUAGUGAGCAUCCGCUUCAUUAUCUCUCGAUUAUUCGAAUAAUUGGCGUACGCCACAUUGCUCGAAUCUUCGUCAUCAAUUCAAAACCACAAUCGAAUAAACCCAAACCUACCAAAAUUCAAACCAUUUUCGCACAUCAAAUGCAACAUCCAAACAUAUCUUUUACAAUUUAAACCUCGGAUGAUAAAAGAGAUAGGAGGCGUACGCCUCACCAUCUCUCAAUUAUUUGAAUAAUUGGCGAACGCCAUAUUGCACAAAUUAUCGACGUCCGACUAAAACACGCUAAAUAAACUUGGAUAAGGGAAUAAGAGACCCACCUUCAUCUCCUCCACAAAUCACCGUCAUCACGCUCACCACCACCAAACCCCAAAUCGCUUCACCUUCAAAAACCCUCAACCCUCUUCUCCUUCGUCAUCAACCGCUUCAAACCCUAUCCACCACUCUAACCAUCAAACCCUCACCGUGAAUCGCCAUCACUAACCGUGAAGCUCGCCGCCGCUCAAACCUCCGCUUCUUCACCACCAACAAACCCUCGCGAAUCCACCAUCUCCAACUCACCAUCGAAACCCAUUCACCUCACAACCCCAAAAUCGUCCACGGUUCUCCACCAGGAACAACUCCACGAACAACCACCUCCGUAAAAAACGCGACACACCACCAACACCUCAAAACCCUCGCUCCAUCCGCUACUGCAACUCUUUUACUCCACCGACAAAACGCACACAAC